Long non-coding RNA from Dreissena polymorpha, 1551 nucleotides. RefSeq lists it as uncharacterized. The transcript has 4 exons. Lineage: Eukaryota; Metazoa; Mollusca; Bivalvia; Myida; Dreissenidae. The record is from RefSeq and is a predicted model, not a curated record.
GGGGUGCUCAACAGAAGGGAGUGCUCUCUUGAGGAAGAUUCGCCACGACGAAAAUCUGAUUACCACACAGGAUAUAGAGAACAUGGAAGAAGCCUUCAAGAAAAACACUCCCCAGCUCGACCACUCUACGUCUCUCUGAUUUCCAAAUGUAAUCGGACUGAUUGAUGGAACUCAUGUUCGCAUCCAAAGGCCAAAGAACCACGAAGCCGAUUUCAUAAAUAGAAAAGGCUACCAUUCUUUGAACGUGCAAAUGGUAUGUUACAACAGCAAAAAAGUGAGGAGCUUAACAGCUAAAUGGCCAGGAAGCACACAUGAUGCGAGAAUAUGGAGAGAGUGUCAUCUACGGAACCAGUUCGAACAAGGAGCUCAUAAUGACUUCAUUCUUGGAGACUCGGGGUACCCAUGUACACCCUACCUGAUGACUCCUUUCCGAACCCCUUAAGCACAGAAUCAAGAGCAGUUUAAUCUGGCUCUGUGCAAAACAAGAGUGCUUGUGGAGCAGACCUUUGGUAUUCUAAAAAGAAGAUUCGCAAUACUCCAUUACGGGAUAAGGACUGACUUGGCGACAGCAGUGACCUAUAUCACUGCGUGUGUAGUUAUGCACAAUUUUGGAAUUUAACAUAGGGGAUAUCCUUGAAGAGGAUUAUUUGGAUGAUGUUUUUGAAGAACAUGUUUAUCAUGAAAAUGUUGAAAUAAAUGCAAACCAUGUUGGGAACAUUGUAAGGCAACAACUAGUUCAACGAUUUUUUAAUUAAAUUAAAUAAUGUACUGAGUUAAACUUCUCUAAAAAGUGUGAUGAGUUAAACUUCUCUAAAAAGUGUGAUGAGUUAAACUUCUCUAAAAAGUGUGAUGAGUUAAACUUCUCUAAAAAGUGUGAUGCGUUUAACUGUUAAUAGUCUUUAACUGCACUGUACUAUAUGUGAAUUAGUCUCAUAACUUUUAAGAUUGUACAAAGCUGUUUCCACUGAUUUCCAGAUUUUAGUGGAGACUUUAUGUUAUUUGAAAGAGAGGUAACUCUGUAGUUCAUGUUACAAAUUUCUGUAAUUUUAACUCAGGGGUAAGCUCCCUUUCAUUUCACUGCACUUUAAUUUUCAUUUCCGCUUUUCAAUUGUUGUGCUAUGAAUUUGUCUGUUUAAGAACGGCAAUUUGCAAUAUUGAAACUUCUUAUUGCCUAAUUCUAAACUGUAACAUGUUUUCCUGUGUCAAGUUCUAAUUCUAACCAAAAACGUGACUUUAUUAUGUUGUAAAAUUAAUAUGUAUACAUGUACUUUCUAAGUACGGUUCUACUAACCCUACCCAGGAAACUUGAUUAUGUUCUCAUUGAAUUCAUGUAUUUCUGUGUCAAGUACUGGUUCUACCCAGAAACAUGACUUUAUUAUGUUGUAAAUAUGUUGUUAAAUUAAUAUGUAUACUUUGUAAGUACUGGUACUACUGGUUAUAAUAACCAUACACAGGAAAAUUACUUGAUUUAUUGUUAUAUUCAAUUAAUAUGCAUUCAUAAUGAGUACUGGUUCUACCCAGGGUUUUUUUGUCUGAAACUAUUAAAAUUAU